GGAAUUUCUGACUCUGUCCCCCUCCUUUGCCCUGAACUGGCCUCACCUAGUCUCCUGCUGCUUAUGUGAACCAUGCUCUGAGUGGUACCUGAAGCAUGCCACACAAGGAAGGAGGGCAGCCACCACCUCUUAUCUCACAUUCCCUGCUUCAACCCCAGUCCCUCCACUGGGAGGGAAUCAGGGGAAAUAUAGGGAAGAAGAGAGGAGAAGAAAUAAGAUUGGACCUAUAAUCUCUAAAGAUAACAGAACUGAGGCACAGAUUGGUUAAGUAGCAUGCCUGAAGUUACACAGCCUGUAAGAGCAAAGCUGGAUUGCAAACCAGAUCUGGUGACUACAAACUCUGGCCUCUGGCUUGAUUUUCUGCCAUGUUCCUGGUGAUCAGCCUCAACAGAAGCCCAGCUCUGUCCUGAUGGCCUUUCCUGAUUUCUACCAGCUGUGAGCUCCUCAAGCCUUGGUUUGCUUCCCUCGAGCCUUGACGACUACUUCCCAGCCCAGCCUCUGAUUUACAAUCUCUGGCUCCAAUCCUGCCCACAUCUUGAUGAGACACAACAAAGAUGAUCUGCAACUGAGAUUUGAACCUUGUUUGGGCUACAGUGUUGGGAUGCAUUUGGGUGGAACAGGAGAAAUAAUCCUCAAUGAAGCCUCAUGGGUUGGAGUCAUACUUCUCUAGGAUUAACUGAUAUUUACUGGUGAUCUGUCUUUCCUCUAUUAAACAGGGCCACCUGGUAAGACCCUCUACUCUCAAUGCUUUGGACUGCAUCUCACCUAGUUCAAUGGUUUUCAAUGCUGG
RNAcentral lists this long non-coding RNA (790 nucleotides) under Pan troglodytes (chimpanzee). RNAcentral's name for it is "long non-coding RNA NONPTRT002320". Lineage: Eukaryota; Metazoa; Chordata; Mammalia; Primates; Hominidae. The record is from RNAcentral.